Molecule: long non-coding RNA, 269 nt
Organism: Pungitius pungitius (ninespine stickleback)
Lineage: Eukaryota; Metazoa; Chordata; Actinopteri; Perciformes; Gasterosteidae
Exons: 3
Source: RefSeq, a predicted model, not a curated record
UACGUGACCGAUACGUGACCCAAACAUCGGAGCAGUUUGGACUCACCAACACUCUGGAGGACAGAGCCCUAGAGGAGGAUAUACAAGCUUGAGGAAGCAAGGAGCUACCUAAGAAGGCAAAUCUGAGUUACAGUUUCUCCUACUCUCCUCUCCCACACUUUAUGAAGAAUAAAGUUCCCGGACGAGUUUCGGAGAAUAGCCACAAUUUCUCACCAAAGCUUACUGCCCUGAUGAAAGCCAAGGCUGAGGCCCCACCUGGAUAAACUGAG